This 351-nucleotide long non-coding RNA is filed under the name Homo sapiens (human). Its description in RNAcentral is "HSALNT0239530". The record is from RNAcentral. Lineage: Eukaryota; Metazoa; Chordata; Mammalia; Primates; Hominidae.
GCCCAGAGUGUGCAAGGGCAUCUGUAUCUAAGGAUGAGACCUGGGGUUGGAAAGAUAGGUAGAGGCCAGAUCACCAGGGGCCUAUGUGUUCUGCAAAAAUGUAGAUAUUCUCUUGGGAGUCCUGCUAAAGUGUAAUCCUCUGACCAGCAGUAUCAGCAUCACCUGGGAGCUGGUUAGACGCAUAGAGUCUCUGCCUUCCCCCACCCCCAAGUCUGUGUUGCAACAGGAUCCUCCAGGAGAUUCGUGUGCACAUCCAACUGUAAGAAGCUCUGAUCCAGACCACUGUUCCCCACCAUUUGGAAGAAUGGGGAUGUCUUCUUAACAUCAAAAUAUUUCUCAGCCAGUAUCCCA